This 467-nucleotide ribosomal RNA is filed under the name uncultured bacterium. Its description in RNAcentral is "partial 16S ribosomal RNA". It matches the Rfam family "Bacterial small subunit ribosomal RNA", at positions 28 to 507 of the family's 1533-position model. The record is from RNAcentral.
GAUGAACGCUGACAGAAUGCUUAACACAUGCAAGUCAACUUGAAUUUGGGUUUUUAACUUAGGUUUGGGUGGCGGACGGGUGAGUAACGCGUAAAGAACUUGCCUCACAGCUAGGGACAACAUUUGGAAACGAAUGCUAAUACCUAAUAUUAUGAUAAUAGGGCAUCCUAUAAUUAUGAAAGCUAUAAGCGCUGUGAGAGAGCUUUGCGUCCCAUUAGCUAGUUGGAGAGGUAACGGCUCACCAAGGCGAUGAUGGGUAGCCGGCCUGAGAGGGUGAUCGGCCACAAGGGGACUGAGACACGGCCCUUACUCCUACGGGAGGCAGCAGUGGGGAAUAUUGGACAAUGGACCAAGAGUCUGAUCCAGCAAUUCUGUGUGUACGAUGAAGUUUUUCGGAAUGUAAAGUGCUUUCAGUUGGGAAGAAAGAAAUGACGGUACCAACAGAAGAAGUGACGGCUAAAUACGUG